CCUACGGGUGGCAGCAGUGGGGAAUAUUGGACAAUGGGGGGAACCCUGAUCCAGCCAUGCCGCGUGUGUGAAGAAGGCCCUCGGGUUGUAAAGCACUUUCAGUGAGGAAGAACGCCUGGUGGUUAAUACCCAUCAGGAAAGACAUCACUCACAGAAGAAGCACCGGCUAACUCCGUGCCAGCAGCCGAGGUAAUACGGAGGGUGCGAGCGUUAAUCGGAAUUACUGGGCGUAAAGCGCGCGUAGGUGGCUUGAUAAGCCGGUUGUGAAAGCCCCGGGCUCAACCUGGGAACGGCAUCCGGAACUGUCAAGCUAGAGUGCAGGAGAGGAAGGUAGAAUUCCCGGUGUAGCGGUGAAAUGCGUAGAGAUCGGGAGGAAUACCAGUGGCGAAGGCGGCCUUCUGGACUGACACUGACACUGAGGUGCGAAAGCGUGGGUAGCAAACAGGAUUAGAUACCCGUGUAGUC
RNAcentral lists this ribosomal RNA (465 nucleotides) under Vreelandella stevensii. Its description in RNAcentral is "partial 16S ribosomal RNA". It matches the Rfam family "Bacterial small subunit ribosomal RNA", at positions 338 to 795 of the family's 1533-position model. The record is from RNAcentral. Lineage: Bacteria; Pseudomonadati; Pseudomonadota; Gammaproteobacteria; Oceanospirillales; Halomonadaceae.